AGUGAACGCUGGCGGUAGGCCUAACACAUGCAAGUCGAACGACAGCACAGUAAGAGCUUGCUCUUACGGGUGGCGAGUGGCGGACGGGUGAGGAAUACAUCGGAAUCUACUUUUUCGUGGGGGAUAACGUAGGGAAACUUACGCUAAUACCGCAUACGACCUACGGGUGAAAGCAGGGGAUCUUCGGACCUUGCGCGAUUGAAUGAGCCGAUGUCGGAUUAGCUAGUUGGCGGGGUAAAGGCCCACCAAGGCGACGAUCCGUAGCUGGUCUGAGAGGAUGAUCAGCCACACUGGAACUGAGACAAGGUCCAGACUCCUACGGGAGGCAGCAGUGGGGAAUAUUGGACAAUGGGCGCAAGCCUGAUCCAGCCAUACCGCGUGGGUGAAGAAGGCCUUCGGGUUGUAAAGCCCUUUUGUUGGGAAAGAAAAGCAGCAGGUUAAUACCCCGCUGUUCUGACGGUACCCAAAGAAUAAGCACCGGCUAACUUCGUG
This 492-nucleotide ribosomal RNA is filed under the name uncultured bacterium. RNAcentral describes it as "partial 16S ribosomal RNA". It matches the Rfam family "Bacterial small subunit ribosomal RNA", at positions 29 to 507 of the family's 1533-position model. The record is from RNAcentral.